This 848-nucleotide ribosomal RNA is filed under the name Vialaea mangiferae. Its description in RNAcentral is "eukaryotic LSU rRNA". It matches the Rfam family "Eukaryotic large subunit ribosomal RNA", at positions 67 to 944 of the family's 3401-position model. Lineage: Eukaryota; Fungi; Ascomycota; Sordariomycetes; Amphisphaeriales; Vialaeaceae. The record is from RNAcentral.
AACAGGGAUUGCCCUAGUAACGGCGAGUGAAGCGGCAACAGCUCAAAUUUGAAAGCUGGCCUUCGGGUCCGCGUUGUAAUUUGUAGAGGAUGCUUUUGGUGCGGUUCCUUCCGAGUUCCCUGGAACGGGACGCCUUAGAGGGUGAGAGCCCCGUACGGUUGGACGCCAAUCCUUUGUAAAGCUCCUUCGACGAGUCGAGUAGUUUGGGAAUGCUGCUCAAAAUGGGAGGUAAAUGCCUUCUAAAGCUAAAUACCGGCCAGAGACCGAUAGCGCACAAGUAGAGUGAUCGAAAGAUGAAAAGCACUUUGAAAAGAGGGUUAAAUAGCACGUGAAAUUGUUGAAAGGGAAGCGUUUAUGACCAGACUUUUUCCGGGCGGAUCAUCAGGGGUUCUCCCCUGUGCACUUCGCCCGGUGGAGGCCAGCAUCGGUUUUCGCGGGGGGAUAAAAGGUUGGGGAACGUGGCUCCCUCGGGAGUGUUAUAGCCCCUUCCAUAAUACCCUCGCGGGGACCGAGGUCCGCGCUUCGGCAAGGAUGCUGGCGUAAUGGUCAUCAACGACCCGUCUUGAAACACGGACCAAGGAGUCGAACAUUUGUGCGAGUGUUUGGGUGUUAAACCCUCACGCGUAAUGAAAGUGAACGGAGGUCAGAGCCGCAAGGUGCAUGAUCGACCGAUCCUGAUGUUUUCGGAUGGAUUUGAGUAAGAGCAUAACUGUUCGGACCCGAAAGAUGGUGAACUAUGCGUGGAUAGGGUGAAGCCAGAGGAAACUCUGGUGGAGGCUCGCAGCGGUUCUGACGUGCAAAUCGAUCGUCAAAUCUGCGCAUGGGGGCGAAAGACUAAUCGAACCAUC